UGCCUUUGUCCCUCCGUCCCAGGUCAGAGCAGAUAUGCACCAACAAACUCUUACUGUCCCCUGUGCACACCCAGCUUCCCAUCUGAGCCCGUCAACUCCACAUUUAUCACCCACCUGUCACGCCCCCUGAAUAUGUGCACUUCCUGCUCCGUGCACGACUGGGCGCCCACAUCACUCAUUCUAGGGAGGACACCAGCGGAGAGCCUGGAGGUUGUGGUUGGAAAAGGGAAUUUCAGAGUUUUCAAGCCUGGAGGUGGGCAGUUCUGAAAGGGUGCCUUUAUGGAAAAGCCAGGCUGUAGGAGGGGGAAGCUUCUAGAAAAAAAUAAACACUAAAUCCACUCUGAGACCAAGAUGGGAGAUGGUUUACAAAACGCUGAAGUUGGUAAGAAAAGGGCAGGAAAUGGGGGCAGAGGAGACCUGGAGGUGGAUGUGGGAGGCUGCUGGGAAAGAAGGUGAGGUGAUGCAUAACCCAGGUAGAGAUGGAGGAGCUGAGGAGGGUCAGAGCAGAUAUGCACCAACAAACUCUUACUGUCCCCUGUGCACACCCAGCUUCCCAUCUGAGCCCGUCAACUCCACAUUUAUCACCCACCUGUCACGCCCCCUGAAUAUGUGCACUUCCUGCUCCGUGCACGACUGGGCGCCCACAUCACUCAUUCUAGGGAGGACACCAGCGGAGAGCCUGGAGGUUGUGGUUGGAAAAGGGAAUUUCAGAGUUUUCAAGCCUGGAGGUGGGCAGUUCUGAAAGGGUGCCUUUAUGGAAAAGCCAGGCUGUAGGAGGGGGAAGCUUCUAGAAAAAAAUAAACACUAAAUCCACUCUGAGACCAAGAUGGGAGAUGGUUUACAAAACGCUGAAGUUGGUAAGAAAAGGGCAGGAAAUGGGGGCAGAGGAGACCUGGAGGUGGAUGUGGGAGGCUGCUGGGAAAGAAGGUGAGGUGAUGCAUAACCCAGGUAGAGAUGGAGGAGCUGAGGAGGCUGAGAGGGAGUGUUAGCACCAUGGCAGGUAUCCAGCACUGCCUGCCAAAUGACCGGGCCCAGGAUGCCACCUGGAGGGUGUCCGAGAAGGGGCCUCUGCAGACCCACAGCCCUGCUGGGUCUGACCCAGGCAGCAGCAUGGCAGUAAGGAAAUGAGCCGACAGUGAAACAGCAUGAACCUUAACCACCACCAAGAGCCGGGACUCCCCCAGGGACAAGUCAAGUCAGUCCUCACAGCAGCCCCACCCCAGCACCCGUUUCUGCUUUGGCAUCUGGUCUUCCCAAAGGGGAGGACCAUAUACUGUCGGAGCUGACGUUACCACCAGGGUCAGAUCAGAAGGCAAGCUCAGGUUUAAGACUGAACCCCAACUCUGUACAUCCCUGUGUCAUUCCAUGUCUGAGUCCAGCUCCCUCUUCUACAAAUGACCAAACUGAGGCUUAGAAACAGUCAGCAACCAGAGUCUGAAUUCAAAUCCUCUCAACCGCCUGGCUCCCAGACGUGCUCCCUCAGCCGCCAGACGUGCCCGCCAACCCUCCUUGUUCUUUAUCAGCACAAGGAUGGUGGCUCUGUGGGCUUUGCUCUAGGGUACCCUGCCGUCUCCCCACAUGAAACACUGCAUCUCAUGUGUUCCCAGAGUGAACACACUGCUCUAAGUCUCCUGCAGAGCCUGAGAUGUGCGCCAAGAUCACGUCCUCAGGGAGGGCUGAUUUCCAAGAGUGACAGCAUGUACACGUGUCACCUG
RNAcentral lists this long non-coding RNA (1715 nucleotides) under Bos grunniens (domestic yak). Its description in RNAcentral is "lncRNA (ENSBGRG00000022449.1)". The record is from RNAcentral. Lineage: Eukaryota; Metazoa; Chordata; Mammalia; Artiodactyla; Bovidae.